RNAcentral lists this unclassified non-coding RNA (378 nucleotides) under uncultured Gammaproteobacteria bacterium. RNAcentral describes it as "contains 16S-23S intergenic spacer region". Lineage: Bacteria; Pseudomonadati; Pseudomonadota; Gammaproteobacteria. The record is from RNAcentral.
UCCGACUUCUCGUCGGCAGUCUCGUUAGAGUGCCCGGCUUAACCGCUGGCAACUAACGACGAGGGUUGCGCUCGUUGCGGGACUUAACCCAACAUCUCACGACACGAGCUGACGACAGCCAUGCAGCACCUGUGUCCUGGCUCCCUUUCGGGCACUCCUCCAUCUCUGGAGGAUUCCUGGCAUGUCAAGGGUAGGUAAGGUUUUUCGCGUUGCAUCGAAUUAAUCCACAUAAUCCACCGCUUGUGCGGGUCCCCGUCAAUUCCUUUGAGUUUUAACCUUGCGGUCGUACUCCCCAGGCGGUCAACUUCACGCGUUAGCUUCGUUACCAAGGAAUUGCUUCCCCGACAACCAGUUGACAUAGUUUAGGGCGUGGACUAC